Oenanthe melanoleuca is the source of this 4049-nucleotide long non-coding RNA. RefSeq lists it as uncharacterized. The record is from RefSeq and is a predicted model, not a curated record. Lineage: Eukaryota; Metazoa; Chordata; Aves; Passeriformes; Muscicapidae. The transcript is spliced from 2 exons.
CUGAAUUCCUGCUCUCCAGUGCUGAGCAUCUCUCUCCCCUGCUACUGAAGGCACAUCCUGGGGACCUUUCUGAUUUGUUGAUCAUUUAUUUACUGGUCUGGCAUGUUUUUUUUAAGUGUCCUGAAAGCUUUAAGGUGCUGAGACAGGAGCACCAGUCAAAACAAUUCCAGCAGCAUUUGGGAUUAGCUGAGUUAUUUUAAAGGUAAUCCAAAACUCUUUGGGGGUUUUACUCACAAGUUGAGCUCAUGCUUGCAGAUUUAUUCUUGUCAAAGCACUUAUUGACCACUCUUUAUACAAGAAAUGGUUUCUUUGUGUCCCAGGGUUAACCAUGCCAGAUGUUGGUGAUCCCUUUUGCCAAACCAAUAAAAUGCAAAAAAUCUCCCUUCUCCCUCCCUGUCCAUGUGUAGGGAAGUUACAGCUGCUAAAAGCAGGGAUUGUGGGACAAUGGGCUCUCCUUCAUCUUAAAAAUUGCUCUAAAAUAGGUCUUACAUACAUUAGAAUGCCAAAAUAGAAAACCUUUAUGGGUUAUGUUUUAGAGCCUUGCCAUUUGGCUGAAUUUCUGCAUAUUCCUGGUUAGAAAAAAGAGUCACACUUAGUAGCAUUUGGCUCAAAAUUUGAGUUUCACUUAUCCCUGAAGCUUAGAACUGAUUUUGUCUCAUGAAAACAUAUAAUAACACACCUAGAAGUAAAGAUCCCUAUAUUUAAGGCAGUCUCAAGCAAAAAUUCUAGUAAUUAAAUAAAAUUUAUAAUUCAUAUUUCGCUAUCUACCAUGUAUGGUAGCUGAGAUGUCUGCUAACGUUUCCCUGUGGAAUUUCAAAACCUUGACCUGCUGCAGAGUGGCUUCAGCAGCACCUGGAAGAAUUCUACAAAUGGGAAGGUAAAAGGUCAGCCUAGGGAGACAAAAAUGAUUCUAAAGAAUGAUUGAUAAGAAGCUGCAGGAGGAAUAACAGUAAUGCCUGAGAUCUCAGUGCUGAACCUAUGGUUUCUCAUGUGUCAGCAAACAAAUUGCUCUACUUGCCAGUAGAGCUGGGGUGUCCCAGGCCACACACCUGCCCAUGAAUGCUUUGGCCCUUACCCUGAGGAGUGGAGGAGGAGGAGGAGGAGUUACUUGUUUUGUUAAUAAAAAAGAAUAAUCAGGUUACCUGUGAAAAUGUGCUUGUGCUGUGAUGCCCUUGAGAGUUUUGGGAAGGGUGUUCUGUAUGUACAGAUGACAUCAAAAGCGUUCAGGAAGCAACCAAGGAAAAGAAGUGUGGGAAUGUGGCACUAAAUCUAUACUGUCCAUAAAAUGUUUCUUUACAAAUGUGGAUAUUGGUCUCAGCCAUGCUAUCAAUAGCAUAAUUUUAAAUUCAUCCUUUUCUUCUUUCUUUUUCUUUUUUUCUUUCCAUUUUUCCCUCCAAGGAAUGUCUUUGAUGGCAAAUCUCAAAUCAGGAAAUAUUUAAUCAGUUAAUCAGUUUUCCAAGGAUAUUCAAAACUGCAGUGCAGGAAAUAUUUCAUAUCUUCAGUCAAUUUAAGGUAACAGAGGAAAUGUUAAGAUAUAAUAGAAACAGCAGCAGGAUGGUCAAUGCAGAGGUAGUGUUCAAUGUCUGAAUAUCAAUGUCUGAAUGAAUCCUAGGGACAGAUAGUGAGUGAGCUGGGUUAAGGCAAAAGAUGAAUUCCAUUUAUAGUUGUGAACAAGAGACUGCUAGAGCUUCUCAAAGUGAAAAGCUGCUGCUGUUCUAUGCUGAGGAAAUGGAGCACUAUUUUCCUGUUAAUUUUCUGAGUCUUUAUCUGAACUCUUAGAAUAAAGGAUGCCAGAAAAAGAAUUUCUCUUAUAAUUAUCAGUUCUAUAGAAAGUCUCUUUUAUUCACCACUCUUAGCUUUUAUGGUUUCCAGCAUUUGGCCUGGUCUAGCAGAAGAUUUAAGGAUUUAAGGAUUAAACUAUUUUUGCUCUUAAAAUUUGUCUGUGACAAAAAUAAAGGGUUUGUUUGCCAGUGAAAACUGUAAUGCUCUCAGCAAUGAUCUUGUACGAUUUUACACUAGAUGGGAAUAAAACUGGAUGUUUGGCAAACAGGGCCCUCUCCUGGUUCAUUGCCCCAUGACACCCAGAGCUGGGUGAGGAGACAUGGGAGUCAAUGCUGCCACUCACUGCUGAUGCAGAUUUAAGGAAGAGUCCUUUCAGGAGGGAUUUAUGUGCUUUUCCAUGGUUUACUAAAUAUCAGAGCAUAUAUCCAGAGUUUGAGUCUGGAAAUACACAGAAAGACCUAAGCAGAAAAGGAUGCUCAGGAUAAUCUGAUUUGAAGAGCAUACAACAUUGAAAACAACCUUAUACCCCUCACUUCUCCCUCUUUGCUACAAAAGGUUUAGUCAACUCUACAUGGAAGUGGAAAAUAAAGCAGUGGUCUUUUGUAUAACACUGGUUUAACUGCAUUAAAAUGCGUCCUUGUAUGCAUAUUAAAGAGUAACUGCUUGUUUUACAACCUUGUUAACAAAUGAUGUCACUCUUUGUACUUACUAAAGCUCUUCAGCUUUACCAGAAAGGUUUUCACUAAGCAUUACAGAAGAUUUUGCAAACCCAUAGCCUACAACUUCACAUUCAUUCCCAAACUCAUUAUCCUCAGUAUUUCUUAGAUGUAUCUCUUUGGAGAGCAGGAGCUGAACACACAGCUAAUCCCAUCCCUGAAGCAACUGCCCAAGCACACAAGAUUAGAACAGAUUUGAAAGGUCUUGCAGAUUCCUAGUCUCUCUUGCAAUUCCAGUGGGCUUUGCUGCUAUCUGUUUCCAGGUGCAGCUAAAUGUAAAAUGUUCCUGGUAGGAUUAAGGGGAUCUUCAUAGUAUGCAUAGUACAAGCUAAUACCUUUCAGUUUUACUGUUCCAUGUCACACAGAAAUUAUUUAUAAUCAUGUUAUUAUGAGUAUAUUAUGCUCAUUUUAGUUCUGAGUAUAAGAACAGAAUAUUUUCUGGGGCUGGUCUCAGGGUUUUUUUUUCCAUUUCUAACUUAAAACUUAUUUUAAAAGGCCAGGUUUUUGGGAAAAAAAUAUUUAAAACUUUUAAACUCUACUUCAAGCACAGCAUUCCACAGAAUUAGAUUUGCAUCCUAUUUGCUGCAAACAAGUUAAUUUUGCAAACUACAACCUGUCAUUUACUUACAAAUUGUGCAAUAAAUAGUCUGAACAUUUCAAGAGUUGUCCAUACUGCCUGAGUAGAUUCUCUUAUUUUGUUUACAAAGAAAUAAUGAUGCUUGACUCUUUAUCAGGUACUACUUCCCAUUUUAAUCGUGUUUGUCAUUGUCAGUUUUAACAAUGAGCUCAUAUAGGGUUAUGUCUAAAAGUAAAAGGAUAUAAGUAAACAUUAAUAUGCAUCUUUCAGUGCUUUUUCCUUUUUUAGUUUAGUAGCAUAUAUUAGAGUAUUAGAGUGAAAUAACUCUUUUUUUUUUAUUUUAACCCAGAGGCCCUGAGAAAUUGAAACGUACCCAUUAGCCUAAAGGACUUGAAAAACUCUGUUUUUAAUGUAAUUCUAAGUGAAAGUCCAACCUUUAUAAUUGAAACUAUUAUAUUGAUGUUAAUGCAAAUGUCUAUUAAUAAGCACAAAGCUAGCAGUCUUAUUAAGGCACUAAAUCUAACUACUAAACCUGAAACCUGUUUGUAUGAAAGUUUAAUGAACAUGGCUACAGUUUACUUGAAAUACUUUGAAAUAUUUCUCCCAGAGAAUAUUUUCAAAGUUCAAUUUUACUUUAAAUGUGUUACCUCAAGUGACGCAAAAAAUUUGUUAAGUGUCCUAAGUAGCUUUGAUAGUAACAAAAUUUGGGACUGUUGGAAGUUCCUGUGUUUAAUCACCAUGACAAGCUGGCUGAAUCCUGGUACUGCUGCUUCGACUCCAACCAAGAAUGAAGGCUGUGAUGGGACUUCAGCUGUGCUUGAAAUCCUCAAACCUAAUUAGACAUCUUUCAACUGUUUAGCAUCAGUGCAAAGGCAAGAACCUUGUACUCCACUUUGUUAAAUUUAACUGUAUCAAGUAAAAUGAAUAGGACUUGCCACAUACCACUGAAAAUAAAACUAACACAAAUGGUUAAA